AGGGUUUGAUUCUGGCUCAGAUUGAACGCUGGCGGCAGGCCUAACACAUGCAAGUCGAGCGGUAACACAGGGAGCUUGCUCCUGGGUGACGAGCGGCGGACGGGUGAGUAAUGUCUGGGAAACUGCCUGAUGGAGGGGGAUAACUACUGGAAACGGUAGCUAAUACCGCAUAACGUCGCAAGACCAAAGAGGGGGACCUUCGGGCCUCUUGCCAUCAGAUGUGCCCAGAUGGGAUUAGCUAGUAGGUGGGGUAACGGCUCACCUAGGCGACGAUCCCUAGCUGGUCUGAGAGGAUGACCAGCCACACUGGAACUGAGACACGGUCCAG
This 328-nucleotide ribosomal RNA is filed under the name uncultured bacterium. Its description in RNAcentral is "bacterial SSU rRNA". It matches the Rfam family "Bacterial small subunit ribosomal RNA", at positions 8 to 334 of the family's 1533-position model. The record is from RNAcentral.